CUUCUUCUUCUUGUCGCUCUCAGUUUCCAAUGAGGCCUCCGUCGGAUCGAGUGAAUCAGAUGUGUUAUCUGGAGUGCCUUCAUCUGAUGCUUGGUUUCCGUCAAUAUUCAUCCAUGACGAGUAGGCUGCAUCGGAGACUGGAUCCGCCCGGAAACGUGGAAUACUGUUCCCCUCGUCCUCGGCUCCAGCGGGAGAUGACAAAAUGCCUCUUCAGGUUAUCCAGUUGAUGUGCAGAUAGACAAGCAAGGUGCACCCACUUCCACG
Alosa alosa (allis shad) is the source of this 264-nucleotide long non-coding RNA. RefSeq lists it as uncharacterized. NCBI's taxonomy places the organism in Eukaryota, Metazoa, Chordata, Actinopteri, Clupeiformes, Clupeidae. The record is from RefSeq and is a predicted model, not a curated record. The transcript has 3 exons.